This 637-nucleotide ribosomal RNA is filed under the name uncultured bacterium. RNAcentral describes it as "bacterial SSU rRNA". It matches the Rfam family "Bacterial small subunit ribosomal RNA", at positions 232 to 879 of the family's 1533-position model. The record is from RNAcentral.
CGCGGCCUAUCAGCUUGUUGGUGGGGUAAUGGCCUACCAAGGCGACGACGGGUAGCCGGCCUGAGAGGGUGUCCGGCCACACUGGGACUGAGAUACGGCCCAGACUCCUACGGGAGGCAGCAGUGGGGAAUAUUGCACAAUGGGCGCAAGCCUGAUGCAGCGACGCCGCGUGGGGGAUGACGGCCUUCGGGUUGUAAACCUCUUUCAGUAGGGACGAAGCGCAAGUGACGGUACCUACAGAAGAAGCACCGGCCAACUACGUGCCAGCAGCCGCGGUAAUACGUAGGGUGCGAGCGUUGUCUGGAAUUACUGGGCGUAAAGAGCUCGUAGGUGGUUUGUCGCGUUGUUCGUGAAAUCUCACAGCUUAACUGUGAGCGUGCGGGCGAUACGGGCAGACUGGAGUACUGCAGGGGAGACUGGAAUUCCUGGUGUAGCGGUGGAAUGCGCAGAUAUCAGGAGGAACACCGGUGGCGAAGGCGGGUCUCUGGGCAGUAACUGACGCUGAGGAGCGAAAGCGUGGGGAGCGAACAGGAUUAGAUACCCUGGUAGUCCACGCCGUAAACGGUGGGUACUAGGUGUGGGUUUCCUUCCUUGGGAUCCGUGCCGUAGCUAACGCAUUAAGUACCCCGCCUGGGGA